This 345-nucleotide ribosomal RNA is filed under the name Triticum aestivum (bread wheat). Its description in RNAcentral is "partial small subunit ribosomal RNA". The record is from RNAcentral. Lineage: Eukaryota; Viridiplantae; Streptophyta; Magnoliopsida; Poales; Poaceae.
AUGUGGGGUUCUUAUUCAUUUGAUUUCGUCCUCCUGGCAGGCAUCUUUCGUACAUUGAGCAAUAAUGGCAAACUCGAGUGGAUGAUGGAAGGCCUCAGUUUGGGGCCAAGAAAAGGUGUGGACGAGGCCAUUUCUGCAAGGCCGCCUGUAAAUUGUUGGAUGCAACAUCAAUGUAGCUCUGAUCCAGAACCUAGUUCUUGGAUGCAACACGCAUUGUCCUGGACAGGAUCUAAUGUUGUUGAGGUGGCUGCUGUUGUGACCAUGAUCAGAAGAAGCCUGGAAAUGUGCACAAUAGUUUUAGUUGAUGUUGCCACCAUGUUUUGGUGCAUGUGUAUUUCUUUUUGA